GAAUAAUAAGGCUUCCUUUGUAUUUCAAGAGGGGCACCUCUGUACACACCCUGCUUGCAAACUCACAGAAUCCACAGGUUUACCUGUGAGCAUGAACUCCCACUGGCCUUCAUCCCACUAGGAUGUGACCCGGAGAUGGAGGUACCGCAAAACAGAGGCAGCCUGGAACCCUGGGCUUUCACCUGGAGGGCAACUGCCCUGGAGA
Molecule: long non-coding RNA, 205 nt
Organism: Leptonychotes weddellii (Weddell seal)
Lineage: Eukaryota; Metazoa; Chordata; Mammalia; Carnivora; Phocidae
Source: RefSeq, a predicted model, not a curated record